Triticum aestivum (bread wheat) is the source of this 681-nucleotide long non-coding RNA. RefSeq lists it as uncharacterized. The record is from RefSeq and is a predicted model, not a curated record. The transcript is spliced from 2 exons. NCBI's taxonomy places the organism in Eukaryota, Viridiplantae, Streptophyta, Magnoliopsida, Poales, Poaceae.
UCAUGCAUGUGACAUGUUCUCUGCUGUAUCCUGUGAGCAGGCGUCAGCACUGCACCGACCAUUUUAUGGGUAAGCACAGCGGGGUCAAGCGAGCGAGGUGUGGCUUUCAUCAUCUUGUAUCUCGUCCGUCCAGAGAAAGAGCCAGAAAAUGGUACUACUGAGUGACAAACAGAUACAGCCUCGUGGCAGCAAAAUCAGCCUUUUGAAGGGCGAGCGAGUUCCUUCUCAAUGGGGGAGAACGGCGGCCCUGCGCAGACUAUGAAGGUAGACGAUCUAAAAGGUGCCGGCACGCAGGAAGAAGCGGCAGAGCGCGUGUGACAGGGAGGCAGCGAGGAGCAAGAGCGUGGCGGCCGGGUCAACGUCGUAGUAGAAGAAUAGGCGCCUGACGGGGCCAGUGAAGAGCCAGACAGCGUUGAAGGAUGAUAGGAAGCUCCGCGGAAGACAUGAGCGGCGCCGCGCGGAUUGGUUGAAUGCUCGCUGGCUGGCUCGGUUUGGUCAGUUGUCGAUUUGAUAUAGCUUCUGCCCACCUACGGCUGCCAGUAUGCACCUGCUUUGCUCUGCCCACCUACAUUUAGAUUAGUUAGAAUCUCUUAUUUCUAAACUGAGCCAAGAGAAACCACAGUUGGGCUUUCGACUCCUCUGCCUAUUAUAUCUUAAACGAGGUGCAAUCUCUACUGAUUA